RNAcentral lists this ribosomal RNA (495 nucleotides) under uncultured bacterium. RNAcentral's name for it is "partial 16S ribosomal RNA". It matches the Rfam family "Bacterial small subunit ribosomal RNA", at positions 28 to 507 of the family's 1533-position model. The record is from RNAcentral.
GACGAACGCUGGCGGCGUGCCUAAUACAUGCAAGUAGAACGCUGAAGGAGGAGCUUGCUCUUCUGGAUGAGUUGCGAACGGGUGAGUAACGCGUAGGUAACCUGCCUGGUAGCGGGGGAUAACUAUUGGAAACGAUAGCUAAUACCGCAUAACAGUAGAUGUUGCAUGACAUUUACUUAAAAGGUGCAAUUGCAUCACUACCAGAUGGACCUGCGUUGUAUUAGCUAGUUGGUGGGGUAACGGAUCACCAAGGCGACGAUACAUAGCCGACCUGAGAUGGUGAUCGGCCACACUGGGACUGAGACACGGCCCAGACUCCUACGGGAGGCAGCAGUAGGGAAUCUUCGGCAAUGGACGGAAGUCUGACCGAGCAACGCCGCGUGAGUGAAGAAGGUUUUCGGAUCGUAAAGCUCUGUUGUAAGAGAAGAACGAGUGUGAGAGUGGAAAGUUCACACUGUGACGGUAUCUUACCAGAAAGGGACGGCUAACUACGUG